RNAcentral lists this ribosomal RNA (468 nucleotides) under uncultured bacterium. RNAcentral's name for it is "partial 16S ribosomal RNA". It matches the Rfam family "Bacterial small subunit ribosomal RNA", at positions 28 to 507 of the family's 1533-position model. The record is from RNAcentral.
GACGAACGCUGGCGGCGUGCUUAACACAUGCAAGUCGAACGGAAAGGCCCUGCUUUUGUGGGGUGCUCGAGUGGCGAACGGGUGAGUAACACGUGAGUAACCUGCCCUUGACUUUGGGAUAACUUCAGGAAACUGGGGCUAAUACAGGAUAGGAGCUCCUGCUGCAUGGUGGGGGUUGGAAAGUUUCGGCGGUUGGGGAUGGACUCGCGGCUUAUCAGCUUGUUGGUGGGGUAGUGGCUUACCAAGGCUUUGACGGGUAGCCGGCCUGAGAGGGUGACCGGCCACAUUGGGACUGCGAUACGGCCCAGACUCCUACGGGAGGCAGCAGUGGGGAAUAUUGCACAAUGGGCGGAAGCCUGAUGCAGCAACGCCGCGUGCGGGAUGACGGCCUUCGGGUUGUAAACCGCUUUCGCCUGUGACGAAGCGUGAGUGACGGUAAUGGGUAAAGAAGCACCGGCUAACUACGUG